UUUUUUUUUCUUUUUUCUUUUUUUAAAUCACAGUUACCAAAAGAAACAGUGAAUAAUUUAUUACAUACGCUAUAAUAACAUUACUCUAAACACUAUUAUCUAUGAGGUAUAUCUGAGAAAAUUCGGUAAGGAAUUGCGCGGUCUGCAUUGCCAACAUGCCCAGGUUCAUAUUAAAGCUUUGGAACCAUGAAGAACUAGAAAAGGGAGAACAGGGGAGGCAGAAGGAGACAGAGAGAAAGGACCUUUGGUAUUAGUACAAACCUUGUUCUUUGCAGGGUUGCAUUGCAAAGCACCACAGUACAAUAAGCCCACCAAUUUACUGUAUGGAGGCCCAGUGGAAGCUGAGGUAUUCACAGGAAGGAUUAAAAAAAGCACAGAGAGGUCCAGACUGGCUAAAUCGUUGCUUUGGUUCAAGCAAGGCACUCGUCCCGUGGUUACAUCACACUUUGCAAGUGAAGCAUGAGGCUGAGGGGGGGAUUACUGAGGAGGGGUCUGCCAAUCGGGGAUGUUUUCUGUGUUCAGGCUGCCAUUGGUCUCUCUAGGUUCCCUCUUCUAGGUGCGUGAUGGUCGGAAGGCUGGGGAGGGUGGUGUUUGCUUACAAAGAAGCGCUCUGCUGCUCAGUGACCAGAUCUUCUUUGUUGUGUCUCCCAGGUAUGUGGAGAAUUCUGCUUCCAAUAGUAAUUUGGGAAGAAAACCAAAUCUGUUUGGAAGGUGGGCCUUACACAUGUGCUUGGCAUGAGGAGUCGGGGGAAGAUGGAACUCUGAGCUUGUUUGGACGGAGAGAACUCUCACAUGUGUCAGUAUAGUGCUUGGAAACUAGAGAAAGGGGAUACGUGAGUGUUUCUUAAGGCCUGUCAACCUAUCUUCUGAAUUCCUCUGCUAACUACACCCUGUGGAUGCAUGGACUGGAUGAGCUGCCUGGUCUCUUCCCUUCUUAGCUUCUUUGUCUAAAUGGUCCUUUAAAAGCUCAAAGAGAACUGCAGUGCAUGAAACGCAAAAUACUAGACUCAAUAAAGAACUAUACAGGCUAGAGGCUGAUCUUUGCGUAUGUCUGGAACCCAUUUGGUCAAAAGCUGAGAAUGACUCAUUGGCUAACAGGCAAAUCACUCUGAUGAAUGAAUCUUAAUAGUGAUUUAAUCAUUUAACGGAAUAAAAAUAAAUUUAAGACUAAUUUUGUAAGUAAGAAGGGAAGAGAGAAGCAACUCAAAAUAUCCAUUUCUUAAACUGGCUUAUCCCUCUGAAAUUUUGGAGUCAUCUUUUGUUUACAAUGAAUAAUUUCUCAUUAUCCAAUGAUAAAAGGCUUAAACUUCUCUCAUACAGUGUUGUCCUAGAAAUGAUCUAUCAAUGUGUAAAAGUCAAGAGAAGGAAAAAGCUGAACAGCUUAAAUGUCACGUGUGUAAAGGGUGAUCAAAUUCUCUCUCUCUGACAAAUACUGACCUAAGAUACUCAGAAUAAUUCAAUCCAACAGACCAAGAAUGAACUUUCUCUUCUCACUGAGUUAGAAGAUUAUAUAGAUACCACUUUGGAAAGGGGAGGUUCAACAGUGAUCACACUGGAUCAAUGUGUACUUCCAGGGUGAAAACCCUUCCAUGACCUCUAGUAAGUCAAGGCUGGCCACUUUUACAUGCAACUCAACCUAUGUGACUUUAUGUUGAGAUUCUAACUAGACAGACACCAAAAUGCCUGUGAAUAUUUAUAUAGAGUGAAAAUACAUGACAAGCCCACGGUCCUCCUCACUGCUAAAGGAUUGCCACCUUCCUCUUUGCCAACACACGGCCCACCACCUGCAGAGGCAGCAUUGAGCAAAGGGCACAGCAAUGGAGCAGGAGGCAGGAGGCAUGUCUGGGCUUCGCCCCUGGAUAGUUAUUUACCUUCGAUAACUACUUCACUCCUCCAGGGCUCAGGGCUGGAUAAAAGAGUCCUAAGGCCCCUUCUGGCUGUACUCUUUAAUGAGUAGAAUUUCUAUGGCCCAAUCACUGGAAAACUUGACUGUGAUAGCUCCAAAGUGGGGACAGAGGUCGUGGCUGGGACUGAAGGCCACUUUCAACGAGUUUCUUCACCAAUUUGGAAUUGGAAUUUAAGGAAUUACAGCAGCAUCUGAACUCAUGUCCUGAAUAUGUAGAGGGGACAGUGAACAAAUGAGAGAAACACAGAAAAUAUCCCUUUCCAAAUUAGCAGCCACCGUCGCAUAGAUAACUAUUUCUUUGGGGUAUCUGAGCUGUGGCUGUACAUACCAUAUAUCAGAGAUAAUAGUUAAAAUUAAAAAAGAGCACAAGCAAAAUGCAGACCGCACAGAGAAAGAAAUCUUUGGUAUCUUUGGUGUCAUCAACACGAUUAAAAUUACAAAUGGAAAAAGUCAGUGAGGUAGCCUUCUUUGGUUCUCACUAGAAAUAGAAAGUUUUUCCUUUUUUUUUUUCUUUUUUCUGCUUUUUUUUUUUUCCUUUUUUGUUUUGUUGUUUUACACACACAGAGUUCAUUCUUGGAAGCAGCUAGUGUAAGGGUUUCUCUUUUUGCUGUUCUGAUUUUUUAAAAUUUAUUUUUCCAGUUUCUGUAUAGAAGCCCCGAAAUCCAAGCUGGUGGAGCAGGGUCUCUCGGCUUAUGUUUUCUGAAUGCACAGGUUCAGGUUGAAUAGUCAUUGCUUGUCCACAAACUUUGCUCUGUUGUCCUGACAGCAAACAAACUGCAAUGCUGUUGUUUUAAAUAAAAAAUAUAAACUAUAUAGUGCAUCUUUUGCAGAUGCUGAAUAAGUUAAAUAAAUAAGUUACAAUAUGAAGGCUCUGAGGCCCAAUAAUUAAAAGAUGAAGUUCGCCUGGUACCAAGUGGGGCUGCGAACUUAAAUUAAAUAAUUUAAUAACUGUUAUUUAAACUAUUUUCAAAGUUAAUUCAAGAAGGAAAAAUACCUUUUUUUUUUUUUUUUUUUUUUGUAACCUGUAUUUCUUCCCUGUCUGUAACAGAAUUUCACUGCUUUAUAAAGCAAACUAACUUUCAAGGGAAUUCUAAAAGGGAUUUUGCAUCUCUGAUGCACCAAUGGUUUAGAUUUUGAUAAAUAACCACAAAGAACAAAAUCAAAGUAAAGAAAGAUGAUUAAAUAAUUACCAAAAUCCUAUACAUUUAUGUGCUAAGAGCUAAUUUAAAUAAGUUAAUUACAUUAAUUGUACUUAGCUUGUUGGGUCAUAACCCAA
This 3182-nucleotide long non-coding RNA is filed under the name Sus scrofa (pig). RNAcentral's name for it is "lncRNA (ENSSSCG00000059577.1, ENSSSCG00130031763.1)". The record is from RNAcentral. Lineage: Eukaryota; Metazoa; Chordata; Mammalia; Artiodactyla; Suidae.